UACGGGGGGGGCAAGCGUUGUUCGGAAUUACUGGGCGUAAAGGGCUCGUAGGCGGCCAACUAAGUCGGACGUGAAAUCCCUCGGCUUAACCGGGGAACUGCCUCUGAUACUGGAUGGCUUGAGAUUGGGAGAGGGAUGCGGAAUUCCAGGUGUAGCGGUGAAAUGCGUAGAUAUCUGGAGGAACACCGGUGGCGAAGGCGGCAUCCUGGACCAACACUGACGCUGAGGAGCGAAAGCCAGGGGAGCAAACGGG
RNAcentral lists this ribosomal RNA (253 nucleotides) under uncultured bacterium. Its description in RNAcentral is "partial 16S ribosomal RNA". It matches the Rfam family "Bacterial small subunit ribosomal RNA", at positions 524 to 776 of the family's 1533-position model. The record is from RNAcentral.